Molecule: transfer-messenger RNA, 354 nt
Filed under: Candidatus Methylomirabilota bacterium
Lineage: Bacteria; Methylomirabilota (SeqCode)
Also listed under: 1 other name
Description: candidate division NC10 bacterium (hot springs metagenome) transfer-messenger RNA
Rfam family: transfer-messenger RNA
About the family: Bacterial tmRNA, also known as 10Sa RNA or SsrA, is named for its dual tRNA and mRNA-like properties. Its role is to liberate the mRNA from a stalled ribosome. To accomplish this part of the tmRNA is used as a reading frame that ends in a translation stop signal.
Source: RNAcentral
GGGGGCGUAACGGUCUCGACGGGGAUGAUGGGGAUAGAGGUGGCAUGCCGAGGUUCCAAGGCCUCGUAAAACACUUGGAAAAAAAUAAUCGCGAACCUAAGCGAACUGCCUUUAGCUGCUUAAGCAGCUAACGCCUCCUGCCUCUCACCUGUCGGAGGUAAGACAGGCGUCGGUCAGACAGGUUAGCCCCUGUGGACGGGCUCAAGGAAGCAGGGGCGAAUCACGAGAUGAGCUGGUCCUUCUGCUAGCCUGCCUGUAGGCGGGGGAAGGACGAGACGAAAAUACAGGCAAAGCAUGAAGACGCCUCUAUCGAAGCAUCUCCGGACGCGGGUUCGACUCCCGCCGCCUCCACCA